GAGUGGUACAGACUCUGGAAGAUGUCGUUAGGGAGAAAAGAGAAUCCAUCUUUCAGCUUCCUUAUCUAGGUCUGCAAGACAGAGCUGGCCUGCAGGUCACAUGACAGAAGCCUCAGAAAGCCUCACCUCCCUGCCUCGCUGGUGAAACGGAUGCUCCGGAUGGGAACUCUAGCGGACAUGGGAGCCAUUGGAGACAGUUCGGGGGACUAGAUUCCAAACCUUCUGGCUGCCUCCUGGCUGCGUGCCUGCUAUGAACCAAACACAGUGCUUCUUGCGGUGCGGGGCAUGCGUGUGGAGGUCAGAGACAACUUGUGGGCGUUGGUUCUUUCCUUCUACCAUGAGGGUUCCAGGAAUCAAAACGACUUCAAGGAUCUCAAGUGACCAAGCUUCUGCAACUGGAGACUUUGCAAAUGCAGGAGCCCUGCCACUUCUGGCUUUGGAGAUGGAAGGAGGUGUGUGAUGAGAGCAGCCCGGAGACUGGGACACUGGGAGGGAUGGCUUUUCCCAGUGACACACUCAGAUGGACUCCAUCUUGCCUUCGCCUUGGUUUUGACUCCAUAGAACCUACUUCAGACUUUCCCCAGAGCUGCAAAGGUAGUAAAUGGGUGCAGUUUCAAAGUGACCACGCAGCUCUGGGGCAUUUGGUUCCAGCAGGAAAAGGACUGUGAUAUGGUGAGCGUGUAUUUUAUCAUAAUAAAAGAGAAACCACACCGUUAAAGCAAAGUGGUAGGCAAUUGCCCAGCUCAGUGUGGCUAUAAGGGAACUCUGGUAGCAAGCUAACUCAAGAACAGAAAGAGGUUUUAUUUUGCUCACAGUUUUGGUGAUUCAUGGACACGGUGCCUGAACUGGCUCAGGUCCAAUGAGGAUCUCAUGGCAACGGUAUGAACACAGCAUCUUGAACAGGAAGAGGAGAAUGCUGGGUGAGACCACACUGGGGACUAACGAGCCUCUCGUGAGAAUUACCAAGGAGGACCAAUGGACUGAUUUCUCCUGGGCACAACUCUGAUGGCCUAAGGCCUUCAAUUAGGCCUCUCCUCCAAAGGUUCCACCAUCUUCCAUGGUGCCACGUUGCAGAUCAAGCUUUUGAACACCAGGGACCUUGGGAGAUGCAAUGCUCAAACCACCUCCAGCUUUGUCCUCACUCGGGAGCCUGUCUGCUUCAUGCAGAUGGGAGCAGCCAGACAUAAGGGAGACUUUAAAAAACUCUGGGGUGAAAUUUGUGAAAUCUCUCUAAAAGUGGAGAGUCAGAGAAUUUGAAAACACUACUUAAAAUAUCACUGGUCUGAGCUCUGCUCUUUUUAUUUUUAUUUAAAAAAAAUCACCUAUCAUCUGUCUGUCUGUCUAUCUAUCUAUCUAUCUAUCUAUCUAUCUAUCUAUCUAUCUAACUAUCUAUCAUCUAUGAAUCUAUUGUCUUAUUGUCUGUCUAUCUAUCUAUCUAUCUAUCAUCAAUCUAUCAUCUAUGAAUCUAUUGCCUGCCUGUCUAUCUACUUAUCUACUUAUGUGUGGGCACAUCUGCCAUAGUGGAGUAUGUGGAGGCUGGGGGACAAUGUGGAAGAGUUAAGUCUCUCCUACCAUGUGGGUUCUAGGAUCAAACUCAGGUCAUCAGCCCUGCACUGGGCCACCCUGCCCAUUGGUUUUUAGUGGUAAGGUUGACACUAGUUACAUCCAGACAACCGUGUGUGGAAGCGAGAGGGGCCUCAGGUUGAUUAUGUCUUCUCAUCUAGGGAAGCUUGGCUCUCUCCCCAGGGUGGUUUUUCCCUGUGAUUUGCAGAUAGGCAGGGCUUUAAGCCCUUGACUGAUGUAAAACACCCCCCACCAGCCCUGAGUAUUCUCUCCUGGCAGAUCUCUCUCCAGUAGUCAUCUGUUCACACCCUGCUUUGCUGUGUGUCUUCCCAGCCCCCAGCUCAGAUACCCUGCUCCCCAGUCCAGGCCCCUGGGUCUGUCAUGCAGGAUGCUCCAGGUGCAAAGGCUGAGCAAGCAAAGGCCUCAGUGCCACUGAGAUGAGGUUCAUGCCAGGAAGACUCGGGGAGCCCCACCUUCUGGAUCCAUACCUCUGGAGUGUAGCUGAGAGUCAGCAGGAUGGGGGUGGGGCUGAGACCGGCUUGGACCCUCUUUCCUUGUGUGGCCUAUGGAGCCGUGUGGGUAUGGGUGUGUGUGUGCCGGGCUCAGCUCAUGGGCAGGCAGGUGGCUGUACAACAGGCACCACUGUAGGAGAAUGUCCUGUGAGGCUAGUCAUGUGCUCAGGGUUGACAUUCCUUCUGAAUCUUAGCAGUAACCUGUUUUCACCAUCUGGCACCCGAAGAAGCUCUGAGGCCUACUGAUUCAUCUAAGUAAGGGUCCUCAGGUCUGGGGGCCCAGCUGACUCCAAGGCCAAGCUUUGGCUCUCAGGGCUCUGCCUCAGGCAGCUGUGGUUUGAGCUUCAUAUCAGACCUUAGACUUUAGCAGCACCCAGAGCCUACCCAUGCUCUCUCUGGGGCAAAGAAAGCCAAGGAGAUUUGAGGUUGGCGGACAGGAUGGGCCAGGUUCUGUGCCAAACACAGUCUACGUCUUUACCUGGUCCCUCAGCAUUGCCUCUGUCUCCUUGAAUGCCAGGGCGUUUAUCUUGCCUUCCACAUCCAUGAAUCCAUCUGGGUAGCAGGAGUCUUUGGAGUAUCUCAAGGGACACUCGCCUUGUACAAAGGAGGAAACCCUUGGUGGGAUUGGCUUGCUUGGCCUGGCAAGCAUGGCGUGAAUGGGCCUAUGAAUAUGCCCAGCAGUCCUGAGGGGAAGUCACUGUCUUUAUCUUGGAGACUUAAGAUUAAUGUUCCUUCUCCAUUAAAGGUAGCAUAAAUAAUCAUAGCUGGGACUGUAGCCAGAUCUAUAUGACCCACUGCCAGGUGGUCACUAGGGAGCCCUAUUGUUCUCAGGGAAUGUCAGGGUCAAAUGACAGAGAGGGAAUGGGGAACCACAGUGGAGGCUGUGGAUAGCAAGCUGGCCAGCUGGGGCUCCUGGUGGCGGUGGUGGGGCAGACCUGCAAAAGGUGCCCACCAUCUUCUUGCCACAUCUUGCCCCCAAGCCCAGUCAGGGUCCUGCAGGCAGGCCUAGCAUCAAAGCUCUGAAUGGUAGCCCUGUGAAGUGAUUGAUCCCCUGUGUUCCAAGUCUGGCACCCCAUAACCCUAAUAGCUGCCUGCUGACUCAAGUCUUAACACAGUAGCAUGCUGGGAGGGGCAACUGUCCCCUUCUGGCAGUAAGCGCUGAGAGGGACUGACUCAGGGUCACCUGGGAGGUACAGAGCGAGUGGGAGUUUCCCAGGGCAAGACCUUACAGAGCAGGCCACAGCCUGGGUUAUUUGAAGCUCCUGUGUCUGCAUGUGAGACGUCUGCAGGAUGUCCUUUUCCUGGUUUUAUCUGGUGACAGUGACGUGUGGGUGGGAAUAGCAGGAAAUGAGUGACCAGUGGGGUGGCAAAAUUGGCAAGAGCCAACGCAGUGAGUGUGGAGAGGCUGCCUCCUCAGACACGGCAUGGCUCGCUUGUGUGUGUGUCUAUGUGUCUGUGUGUGUGUAUGUGUGUGUGUAUGUGUGUGGUCGCUGAGGCCCUGUGCAUCCUGUCAACUGCUGGUCUCCCCAGACAGGACCACAGCCAGAUCUUAGGGUCUGGGGCCAAGUGUGUGGACACUUUUGGAACAGGCAAAAGACAGAGAAGAAGACUGGGAAGAGGGGAAAGCGUGAGCAGAGAUAGGACUAGCUAUCCAGGAGACCAUGAUGAGCUGGUACCAUGCUCCAGGCUGCUGUUUGCCAUACUACAGGAUCCUCCUACCUCUAGUUAUGACUUUGAGAGGUGGCUGGGGGCGGGGCAUGGAUGCAGCUGGCUGAGAUCUUUAAAGUGGCUGAUGUUGGAGUGCUUCUAUCCUGAGUGAAGGACAUCAAGGAGAGGUGGCAGACCACAUGGCCAGCUUCUCUUGGGAAGUCCCUUUUACCGCCCCAGGCCCUCAGCCAGUGUGUCACCAACUCUACCCUAGCAUGGCUGUGCUGGGGGCUCAUAGGGUAGGAUGCUCUCUGGGCUCUGUCUCUUUAGGAGGUGCCCCUCUCUUAGGGACCCACCCAGUUUGCUCCAGCUUGUGUUGCUUUAUAAGGUGUCUCUGACUACUCUCUGUGAGAUGGCGGCGUGGCCCCCCACUAUGUGACCCUUUACCAUGUCUACACUCAUCUGUUUUCCCUCCAUACUUGUCUGGGCCACAGUCAGCAUUACUGGAAUUAUGGAAUUAUGGAAUGAUGGAAUUACGGUAUUUCCCACGUGGCCCAGUCCCCAAAGCCUCUCUGCACAGGGCAGACCCUGACAUCUGGCAGAGGUAAAGCCUCAGGCCCUUUUUGCCAGGUAGUUUCCCCAGGUAAGUGUCUUGACCCCAUGUCUCCUCACCCAUGAAUGAAUGAAUGAAUGAAUGGGAGUGAGGUGCUAGAGGCCGGGAAGGAGAAAAGAACACACGCAGCUCAGACUUGGAAUAAGGAGCCAGGCCUGAGGCUCUCUCUAGCAGCUGCCUGCACAGCUGAUGUAGGCCCCUCCCUGUGCCCAGGCGGACUGUUCAGGGCAGGCCCCGGAAUGGGAGAGCCUACACCUCAUAGAUGAGCAAUGGCUGUUGUCUGGUCUGCCAGCUUUGUGAAAGACAAAAGCCAGGGGUCCAUUUAAAAAUCAUUUUUUUUAUUAACAUCAUCUUCCUGUUUAGCCAAGUGUCUGUCAUGUAUAAGGAAUGUCGGUAAAUAUUCCAUUUGAAGCUUCUUUGUACAUAUUUCCAUCGAUAAAUAAACUCUGAAUUCAC
RNAcentral lists this long non-coding RNA (4791 nucleotides) under Mus musculus (house mouse). RNAcentral describes it as "predicted gene 10432". Lineage: Eukaryota; Metazoa; Chordata; Mammalia; Rodentia; Muridae. The record is from RNAcentral.